UCUAAAGAAAUAAUACAAUUAUUUUGAAUAGUAGUUUCUUCACAAUUAGUCGUCUUCUACUUGAAUCAGGUCUACGUUGCUUCAGUACCUCACUUAUAAGUUGCGGAAUAAACGCUAUUGCACCAUAGAUAAUGUUCAUCUGCGUUGGACAUCUCAGUUAGCCAUCUAUGGCACAGAAAGUCAUCCAACCCUUAAUGGCAUAACCUUUGGGGCAGAUAUGGCAAUAUAUAAUUCAACUCCAUUAAAACAUGACAAUAUAUAAUUCAACCCUGAAACUCGGUUGUACAAUACGAAAAACUCCCAUCUACAAUCCACUACAAAAUACUCUUUUGAUGAUAGACUACAAAACACUCUCAUUUUGGUGGCUCUCUCAAAAAAAAAUUUCUCAUCCAUUUACACUAUCAGAACCCAAAUCACCCACUAUAUAUAGGGUUUGGUGUCGGCCAUCUGUGUUCCAAAAUAAGAAAAAAAUAAUUUUUUAAUGUGAUAAAGUUGGUGCUGGCCAUCGUUGUCCCAAAACCAAAAAAAAAAAAAAAUUGAUAUCCAAAAAAGGUGGUGCCAGCCAUCAGUGUCCCAAAGAAAAAAAAUUUACAUUGGGAGAAAAAAAGAUACUUGGUGCCGGCCAUUACAUGGCCAGCACUCAAAAAAAUUUAACUAGUGCCGACCAUUAGUGUAACAAAGUAAAAAAAAAUUGUACUGGGACACGAAAAAAGUACUUGGUGCCAACUAUCUACUGGCCAGCACCAAAUUUGUUUUUUUACCUCUGGUGUCGAACAUUACAUGGCCAGAACCAAAUUUUUUUUUAAAUAUUGAUAUUUUUGUAUAUCAAUAUGAUACGAUUUUAAAAAAAAUACCCUGGUGCCGGCCAUUGGGUUCCCAAAGUCAAAAAAAUUAAUAUUUUAAAGCCUGACACAAUCAUCAGGCAAUCAUGGGGUCAAAACACUAUGUAAUGCCGCCCAUUGGGUUCCCAAAACCCUAAUUUACUAUUCAUUUUAGGUCAUUUAGGCGAUUGUUUUUAAAUUUGGGUCAUUUUUAUAAAUAUAAAAAAAAUUUAAGUUAGAUUGGUAAAAUAGCCUAAUAUUACCUAGGUUUAUUUCUUGACAUACUUUUUUUUUUGAAAAUAUUCUUAAAAUACUUAUGCUUCUUACUUUAUAUAACAUAAAUAUGUAGGGGUGAGCAAAAUUCGAUUCGACUCGAAAAAAUCGAAAAAAAUUCGAAUUUCGAGUUAAACGAAUUGAGUUAUUCGAGUUAAUCGAGUUAUUCGAAUCAACUCGAAUUUUUUUCAAAUUUCGAGUUCGAAUCGAGUUGGGUUUUUGAAUUCGAAUAAUUCAAAUGUCAAACUAUAAUAUUUUACAUUUUUAUCCCAAACUCCCAAACUUUUUUACUUUUCCCUUAAAACUUUUACUCCUUCCCACUUUCCCCCAAAAACUUUUACUCCCCUCCCAACCCCCCAAUCUACCCAAAAUUCAUUUCCCACUAAAAUUUUACUCUCCCAUUUAUUUUUUCUCAAAAUUUUACUCCCCAAAACGCUCAAAACCUUUUAUUUUUCCCCAAAAUUUUUACUCCCUCCCACUUUUUUCCUAAAACUUUUAUUUCCUUCCCAUCCCACCUCUCAUCUACCCCAAACCCUCCCCCCUCUAAUUUUUUUUAAUAUUUUCCCUCCAAAAUUUUACUCCCCUGUUUACUUUCCCUCAAACUUUUAUUCCCUAAAACUUUUUAUUUUCUCCUAAACUUUUACUUCUCACCCUUUACUCUCAAAUAAAAAAUCAAAAUUAUCCAAAAUAAAAAAUCACUAAACAUAAAUAGUAAUAAUUUUAUUUAUAUCUACUAUUUAUAUUAUUAAAUUAAAUUUCACAUUUUAUAUUAUUUAUAUUAUUGAAUUGUUUAGUCAUAUUUAAUAUUUAUAUUAAAGUUGAAUUAUUAAUUAUGCCAUAAAAUAUUUGUGUUAAAAUUUUAUAUUGGUAUCAAUUUCACAUUUUAUUUUUAAAAUAACUUUUAUUAAAAAAUCACGUUUUUACAUUUAAUAUAUUAUUUAAUUCUAAAAUACAUAGUGACAAGAAUCUGAAGAUAAUUAAAACAACUAAGCAAGCAAAUAAGCUAACCAGUAUAUAAAAAAUUAAUAAAUAAAUUAUAAGGUGUUGAAAGUUAAUAAAAAAUUUAAUUAAGGUGGACAAAUUUUAUUACGAUGGGUGGCAGUAGUUAUAAGUACCUAAAAUUAUUUUUUAAAAUUUAACUCGAACAAAUAGAUUCGAUUCGAUUCGAAGUCCAUCUCACUCGACUCGAUUCGAGAAAACUUCAAAUAAAAUUAGAAUGAUAAAAUGUGAUUCAAAAACUCGAUUAACUCGAAAAUUUUCGAUUCGAUUCGAUCGAAUGCUUACCCCUAUACAUAUAUAUGUAUUGUGGGUUUUAGGAAUAGGAAUAUCCUCAGUAGCAUCGAGUGAGUGAAGGAGGAUUGUCUAGAAAAUUUAUGUCAACUCAGACAGGCAGCCGCAGCAGUUAAAAGUGUCAAGAAUUGUUCGGUCGUUAUGAUCAUUAAUUAGGAAAUCAUGUGGCUCUUUUGUCUCGAUUGUUGUCUUUUUUUACUUUUCAUUUUUCUUUAUUGAAUCAGUCCUGGACUGCCAAUUCACGGUUUAUUCCACCAAAAUAAUAAUAAUAAUAAUAAUAAUAAUAAUAAUAAUAAAGUAUGCCAACAGUCUAAUUUUACUUCAAAACUUAUCCUUUUAAACUUUUACUGCUGCCUGACAAAAGUUGUGUAAUCAUUAAUAAAUCCAAGAAGUGAGUGAUAAAUUCGAUUGUGUAUAUGUUUCAUGUAUUUUUUACGUUGGUUAUACAAAUAUAAAUGGUAUACUGCUAGUAACUAUUUUUAUUCCAAAAAUAAUUUUAAAAAAUUGACGUAUAUAUUUUUCAAUAUUAUAUUUUAUCUAUAAGAUAUUUGUCAACUUCUACUUUAUUAACAAUAUAUUAAAUAUUUUUUCAAAGUAUACAAUAUAAAUUAUUAAAAUUUUAAAUAUCAAAAUUUUAAAUUGUAACCUAUUGAGUGUUUACGUUCUUCAAAUAUAGCAUAAAUUCAAAUUAUCAUUGUAUAGAAAAACAUACUUAUAUUAAAUGUCAUAUAUAUUAAUUACAUUUAGUUACCCUAUUUAAGAAACGUUUGUUAUGUUUUUAUCAUAUCCGGAGAGCAGGACUCGUGACACUGCCGGUUGCCAGCUCAUGCAAUUAAAGAAGGAAAAUUAAAGACAAAAAGACAACAAAAGAAACAAAACCCAUUGUUCCACAGCCCAUGACCGCCCCAUGCAAGACAAUGUCUGAGAAUUGAAAAAACCAAAAGAGGAAAAAAAAAAAGAAAAAAAAAGCUUCAAACGGCGCUAAAUUGAAGGACACAGGUUUACCAAUACAAAGCAGAAGUAAAAUUUUAAGCAUAUAAUUUAUUUUAAAACGUCACUAAUAUUUUACGUACCUUUGUACUGUGUUAUUUUUCACUGAAAAUCCCUACAUCCUACAAACAACGACGCUUGAUUGUUGUUGUUGCUGAUGCCGUGGCUGUUGGUCAGUGAAAGUGUGAAACCCCUUCUCCGCUCAUGCUUCAAAUUUUGCAUUGCUCAGCCGAUGCAGAUUUUUCGAGUAGUUCAAUAGUUCAUGUAGAUUUUCUAUUUUAAAAACUGUGGUCAAAUGUUUUGAACCGAUCGAUGAGAUGAGCUAAAGGUUCUUACUUACUAGGAAAGAAGCGUUAAUCUAUUGUUGUUGAUAGCGCUGCUGUGAAAGCAAUACUACGGUCGUUGAAACUUGAAGUAGCAUGUUACUGAGAGUUUUGUACCGAGCGAUGAGAGAACGGAUGUUGAGGUGAUUUGAUGGGCCUUAGAUUCUUCCACAGCCGCCGUUUUCGUUGUUGAAAUUGAAGGCAUCAGAGAGACUAGCAAGUAGUAUUUAUGUUGUCUGCGUUGGCAUCGAUGCUGCUUUUUUGUGUUAAAUUUGUUAUCUUGCAGCAGGAAACUGCAUUAGCCCUAGGAAUGAUUUUGGUGUUUCGCAACAAUCAUUGUUCAAGUUAUGUUGUUCAGAAACGAUUUU
RNAcentral lists this long non-coding RNA (4065 nucleotides) under Gossypium barbadense (sea-island cotton). Its description in RNAcentral is "long non-coding RNA (GBAR_LNC014346)". The record is from RNAcentral. Lineage: Eukaryota; Viridiplantae; Streptophyta; Magnoliopsida; Malvales; Malvaceae.